RNAcentral lists this ribosomal RNA (274 nucleotides) under uncultured bacterium. RNAcentral describes it as "partial 16S ribosomal RNA". It matches the Rfam family "Bacterial small subunit ribosomal RNA", at positions 523 to 796 of the family's 1533-position model. The record is from RNAcentral.
AUACGAAGGGGGCUAGCGUUGUUCGGAAUUACUGGGCGCAAAGCGCGCGUAGGCGGACUGAUCAGUUGGGGGUGAAAUCCCAGGGCUUAACCCUGGAACUGCCUCCAAUACUGUCAGUCUUAAGUUCGGGAGAGGUGAGUGGAAUUCCUAGUGUAGAGGUGAAAUUCGUAGAUAUUAGGAAGAACACCAGUGGCGAAGGCGGCUCACUGGCCCGAUACUGACGCUGAGGCGCGAAAGCGUGGGGAGCAAACAGGAUUAGAUACCCUAGUAGUCC